Molecule: ribosomal RNA, 555 nt
Filed under: Triticum aestivum (bread wheat)
Lineage: Eukaryota; Viridiplantae; Streptophyta; Magnoliopsida; Poales; Poaceae
Description: partial small subunit ribosomal RNA
Source: RNAcentral
AUGUGCGGCGGGGCUGUUAUCGCCGACUUCGUCCCGGCCGGGGCCCGCCGCCCGGAUGGCUCCUCCACCGACGUCCCCGGCUCCAGCCUCACCGUCACCGGUGAGGAGGUGACGGAGAAACCGCCGGCGCCGGGGCGGAAGACGGCGUACCGUGGGAUCAGGCGCCGGCCAUGGGGCCGCUGGGCUGCGGAGAUCCGGGACCCCAGGAAGGGCGCGCGCGUCUGGCUGGGCACCUACGCUACCGCGGAGGAGGCCGCCCGCGCCUACGACGUCGCGGCGCGCGAUAUCCGCGGGCCGAAGGCCAAGCUCAACUUCCCGCCCGCCGUGGGCGCGCCGCAGGCGGCCGCAGCCGUGGAGGGGGCGGGGGCGCACAAGAAGCGUCGGAUGGUCGCGGCAGAGGAGAGCUCCGCGUCUUGGUCUCCACUUCCGGCCACGGCCACCGGAGGCGGCGGCACAGAGAGCCUGCGGGAGCGCAUGUCCGGGCUGGAGGCGUUCCUGGGGCUGGAGGACGGCGACGUGGAGCCCUGGGAGGCCGUCGAUCUCAUCUUGGAGUAG